AUGACUUUUGGUUAAAAUUCAAAGUUUUGAAGCUAUUUUCAUUAGUUUUCCUUAAGAUGAUAAAAGCAAAUAUCAUAGGUGAAGGAAAACAAUAAAAAUAAAAUUUUACCUGUUUGGUUUGUUUAUUCCAUUAGAGAAAUUUUUUUCACAAGAUAAUUGAGUAGGUAAUUUGUCACAUCAACUAUUACUGUACAAGUUUGUCGAUAUCGUUUGCUUACACUAUUGAAGAUGUUUUUGUGAACACGGAAAAUUCCUGAAACGAAAGAGACAAGAACAACGUGCACAAACAAAUAUUUGUAUUUGAUGAUUUUGGGUUACAAUCUCUCUCAAAUUUGAUCCUAUGAUUCGAUCUCCUUAAGGUGUUGAUUUGUGGAUGUUUCGUUGAUCUAAGGGCCGUCGAGG
This 402-nucleotide long non-coding RNA is filed under the name Malus domestica (apple). Its description in RNAcentral is "long non-coding RNA (MDOM_LNC010623)". The record is from RNAcentral. Lineage: Eukaryota; Viridiplantae; Streptophyta; Magnoliopsida; Rosales; Rosaceae.